GGUGAUGAUCAAUUUUUAACCCCGAGGUCGCCCAGUGACGAUCAAAAUGGGCAACAAACACUCUAAUUUUUUACUGAUA
Molecule: small nucleolar RNA, 79 nt
Filed under: Rhinocladiella mackenziei CBS 650.93
Lineage: Eukaryota; Fungi; Ascomycota; Eurotiomycetes; Chaetothyriales; Herpotrichiellaceae
Description: A. fimigatus snoRNA Afu_298
Rfam family: A. fimigatus snoRNA Afu_298
Source: Rfam by way of RNAcentral